Molecule: non-coding RNA, 78 nt
Organism: Potamilus streckersoni
Lineage: Eukaryota; Metazoa; Mollusca; Bivalvia; Unionida; Unionidae
Source: the annotation of a GenBank genome assembly
GCUCCAGUGGCCUAGAGGUUGGAGCGUCCGCCUCGGAUGCGAAAGGUCGUGGGUUCUAUUCCCGGUCGAGUCGUAGCA